RNAcentral lists this transfer RNA (75 nucleotides) under Deltaproteobacteria bacterium RIFCSPLOWO2_02_FULL_53_8. Its description in RNAcentral is "tRNA-Val". It matches the Rfam family "tRNA". From Rfam's summary of the family: Transfer RNA (tRNA) molecules are approximately 80 nucleotides in length. Their secondary structure includes four short double-helical elements and three loops (D, anti-codon, and T loops). Lineage: Bacteria; Deltaproteobacteria. The record is from RNAcentral.
GGGCGGUUAACUCAGCGGUAGAGUGCCACCCUCACACGGUGGAAGCCACUGGUUCAAACCCAGUACCGCCCACCA